GAUGAAGAACGUAGUGAAAUGCGAUAAGUAAUGUGAAUUGCAGAAUUCAGUGAAUCAUCGAAUCUUUGAACGCACAUUGCGCCCCUUGGUAUUCCGAGGGGCAUGCCUGUUCGAGCGUCAUUAUAACCCCUCAAGCUCAGCUUGGUGUUGGGGCCUGCUGCACUGGCAGCCCUUAAAAUCAGUGGCGGCGCCAUCUGGCUCUAAGCGUAGUAAUUCUUCUCGCUCUGGAGGUCCGGUCGUGUGCUCGCCAGCAACCCCCAAUUUUUUUCAGGUUGACCUCGGAUCAGGUAGGGAUACCCGCUGAACUUAAGCAUAUCAAUAAGCGGAGGA
Molecule: unclassified non-coding RNA, 330 nt
Filed under: soil metagenome
Description: partial contains 5.8S ribosomal RNA, internal transcribed spacer 2, and large subunit ribosomal RNA
Rfam family: 5.8S ribosomal RNA (bases 1-120)
Source: RNAcentral